Molecule: non-coding RNA, 103 nt
Organism: Chelonoidis abingdonii (Abingdon island giant tortoise)
Lineage: Eukaryota; Metazoa; Chordata; Testudines; Testudinidae
Source: RefSeq, a predicted model, not a curated record
AAAGUUUUUCCUAAUAUCCAACCUAAACCUCCCCCACUGCAACUUGAGACCAUUACUCCUUGUUCUGUACUGGACCACUGAGAACAGCCAAGCUCCAUCCUCU